GAUGAACGCUGGCGGCGUGCCUAAUACAUGCAAGUCGAGCGAACAGACGAGGAGCUUGCUCCUCUGACGUUAGCGGCGGGCGGGGGAGUAACACGUGGAUAACCUACCUAUAAGACUGGGAUAACUUCGGGACACCGGAGCUAAUACCGGAUAAUAUAUUGCACCACAUGGUUCAAUAGUGAAAGACGGGUUUGCUGACACUUAUAGAUGGAUCCGCGCCGCAUUAGCUGGUUGGUGAGGUAACGGCUUACCAAGGCGACGAUGCGUAGCCGACCUGAUAGGGUGAUCGGCCACACUGGAACUGAGACACGGUCCAGACGCCUACGGGAGGCAGCAGUAGGGGAUCUUCCGCAAUGGGCGAAAGCCUGACGGAGCAACGCCGCGUGAGUGAUGAAGGGCCUCGGAUCGUAAAACUCUGUUAUUAGGGAAGAACAAAUGUGUAAGUAACUAUGCACGUCUUGACGGUACCUAAUCAGAAAGCCACGGCUAACUACGUG
This 497-nucleotide ribosomal RNA is filed under the name uncultured bacterium. RNAcentral describes it as "partial 16S ribosomal RNA". It matches the Rfam family "Bacterial small subunit ribosomal RNA", at positions 28 to 507 of the family's 1533-position model. The record is from RNAcentral.